RNAcentral lists this transfer RNA (73 nucleotides) under Ixodes scapularis (black-legged tick). It matches the Rfam family "tRNA". From Rfam's summary of the family: Transfer RNA (tRNA) molecules are approximately 80 nucleotides in length. Lineage: Eukaryota; Metazoa; Arthropoda; Arachnida; Ixodida; Ixodidae. The record is from Rfam by way of RNAcentral.
CCCUAGUAAGCUCAGUUGGUAGAGCGCUCCACCUGUAAUGGAGAGGUCCCGGGUUCGAUACCCGGACCAGGCG